RNAcentral lists this transfer RNA (72 nucleotides) under Stegodyphus mimosarum. It matches the Rfam family "tRNA". From Rfam's summary of the family: Transfer RNA (tRNA) molecules are approximately 80 nucleotides in length. Their secondary structure includes four short double-helical elements and three loops (D, anti-codon, and T loops). The record is from Rfam by way of RNAcentral. Lineage: Eukaryota; Metazoa; Arthropoda; Arachnida; Araneae; Eresidae.
GCCUUCGUGGUGCAAUAGUGAGCACGUUUGAUGCGUAUUCGAAAGGUCCAGGUUCGAGUCCCGGCGAGGUCA